Molecule: transfer RNA, 71 nt
Filed under: Ourococcus multisporus
Lineage: Eukaryota; Viridiplantae; Chlorophyta; Chlorophyceae; Sphaeropleales; Selenastraceae
Description: tRNA-Phe
Rfam family: tRNA
About the family: Transfer RNA (tRNA) molecules are approximately 80 nucleotides in length. Their secondary structure includes four short double-helical elements and three loops (D, anti-codon, and T loops).
Source: RNAcentral
GCUGAGAUAGCUCAGGGGUAGAGCAAAGGAUUGAAAAUCCUUGUGUCGUUCGUUCAAAUCGAACUCUUGGC